AGCGAACGCUGGCGGCAGGCUUAACACAUGCAAGUCGAGCGGGCAUCUUCGGGUGUCAGCGGCGGACGGGUGAGUAACGCGUGGGAACGUGCCUUCUGGUUCGGAAUAACUCAGGGAAACUUGAGCUAAUACCGGAUACGCCCUUUUGGGGAAAGGUUUACUGCCGGAAGAUCGGCCCGCGUCUGAUUAGCUAGUUGGUGGGGUAACGGCCUACCAAGGCGACGAUCAGUAGCUGGUCUGAGAGGAUGAUCAGCCACACUGGGACUGAGACACGGCCCAGACUCCUACGGGAGGCAGCAGUGGGGAAUAUUGGACAAUGGGCGCAAGCCUGAUCCAGCCAUGCCGCGUGAGUGAUGAAGGCCUUAGGGUUGUAAAGCUCUUUUAUCCGGGACGAUAAUGACGGUACCGGAGGAAUAAGCCCCGGCUAACUUCGUGCCAGCCGCCGCCGCAG
RNAcentral lists this ribosomal RNA (451 nucleotides) under uncultured bacterium. Its description in RNAcentral is "partial 16S ribosomal RNA". It matches the Rfam family "Bacterial small subunit ribosomal RNA", at positions 29 to 523 of the family's 1533-position model. The record is from RNAcentral.